GGGUCGGUGGUCUAGUGGCUAUGACGCCAAAGCAAUAAAGCUGCGGAACGCUUACAACGUGGAGAUCGGCGGUUCGAAUCCGCCCCGGCCCA
Molecule: transfer RNA, 92 nt
Filed under: Candidatus Aenigmatarchaeota archaeon
Lineage: Archaea; Nanobdellati; Candidatus Aenigmatarchaeota
Description: tRNA-OTHER
Rfam family: tRNA
About the family: Transfer RNA (tRNA) molecules are approximately 80 nucleotides in length. Their secondary structure includes four short double-helical elements and three loops (D, anti-codon, and T loops).
Source: RNAcentral